CCACACAGGGAGACACGGAGGCUGGAGCGGUAUGCCUCACUCGGAGGGCUUGUUGGGCAAACAUAAGGAAACAACUGCGGACCCGGCAAGAGAGAAAAACCCGUGUGCUUAUUGGUGCGAAACAAGCUGUGAAAGUAAGAUGAUUCAGAGAACCUGACACGAAGUUCUGUUCAAUGCAAGUGACUGAGUAUGAAGUUUGGUUCAACGAGCAUUAAAGAUAAGUAGAGGGAAGUUGGUUUGCCUGCGCGAGUGUAUGUGACAUUUCUCCGGCGGUGUGCGCCUGUGACUGAGACUGUUUUAUUGUUUGCCCACAGUGUUGCGGAGUAGCAGGAGCCUGCCUGUGAAAGUGAGACAACAAGCCUUUCCAACUUGACGCCAAACAAGGCGGACUCUCGGACUAUUGUGCAUGGCUUUUCUAGUGGACUGCUCCUUUUGGUUUUAUUGUUAAUUCAAUGUUAAUGGACAAUGGACUGCCUGUGAAUUUAUGAGGAUUGCAUGUAAAAAUGGGCUGAACACCU
Long non-coding RNA from Pygocentrus nattereri (red-bellied piranha), 518 nucleotides. RefSeq lists it as uncharacterized. NCBI's taxonomy places the organism in Eukaryota, Metazoa, Chordata, Actinopteri, Characiformes, Serrasalmidae. The record is from RefSeq and is a predicted model, not a curated record. The transcript is spliced from 2 exons.